Molecule: ribosomal RNA, 535 nt
Filed under: uncultured bacterium
Lineage: Bacteria
Description: partial 16S ribosomal RNA
Rfam family: Bacterial small subunit ribosomal RNA
Source: RNAcentral
UGGGGAAUAUUGCACAAUGGGCGAAAGCCUGAUGCAGCGACGCCGCGUGCGGGAUGAAGGCCUUCGGGUUGUAAACCGCUUUUGAUUGGGAGCAAGCGAGAGUGAGUGUACCUUUCGAAUAAGCACCGGCUAACUACGUGCCAGCAGCCGCGGUAAUACGUAGGGUGCAAGCGUUAUCCGGAAUUAUUGGGCGUAAAGAGCUCGUAGGCGGUUUGUCGCGUCUGGUGUGAAAGUCCAUCGCUUAACGGUGGAUCUGCGCCGGGUACGGGCAGGCUAGAGUGCGACAGGGGAGACUGGAAUUCCCGGUGUAACGGUGGAAUGUGUAGAUAUCGGGAAGAACACCAAUGGCGAAGGCAGGUCCCUGGGUCGUCACUGACGCUGAGGAGCGAAAGCGUGGGGAGCGAACAGGAUUAGAUACCCUGGUAGUCCACGCCGUAAACGGUGGAUGCUGGAUGUGGGGCCCAUUCCACGGGUUCCGUGUCGGAGCUAACGCGUUAAGCAUCCCGCCUGGGGAGUACGGCCGCAAGGCUAAAAC